ACCAGGGGCGGGUCUGGGAUAGUGUGUUCUGAGGGUGUCGGAAGGGGCAGCUGGGCUUGGGAAGGGGCGUGGCCUGAGCCCUUUGACUCCGCCCGCUCCUGCAGGGGUCUACCUUUCUAAGGAAGCCGAGCGGAAGCUGCUAACGUGGGAAUCGGUGCAUAAGGAGAACUUUCUGCUGGCACGCGCUAGGGACAAGCGGGAGAGCGACUCCGAGCGUCUGAAGCGCACGUCCCAGAAGGUGGACUUGGCACUGAAACAGCUGGGACACAUCCGCGAGUACGAACAGCGCCUGAAAGUGCUGGAGCGGGAGGUCCAGCAGUGUAGCCGCGUCCUGGGGUGGGUGGCUGAGGCCCUGAGCCGCUCUGCCUUGCUGCCUCCAGGUGGGCCACCACCCCCUGACCUGCCUGGGUCCAAAGGUCAGUGUGUAGCAUCAGCCUGUGCAUCUCCAGCUUCUGUUCCUGUAUUUUUGCGUGUUUUUCUCUCUCGGCGCCUUUCCAGUGUCCCUGGGUCACUUUCUUGGUCUCCUUUGAGCGUUUUGUACUCUCAA
RNAcentral lists this small RNA (547 nucleotides) under Pongo abelii (Sumatran orangutan). RNAcentral describes it as "retained intron". Lineage: Eukaryota; Metazoa; Chordata; Mammalia; Primates; Hominidae. The record is from RNAcentral.